Solanum pennellii is the source of this 441-nucleotide long non-coding RNA. RefSeq lists it as uncharacterized. The record is from RefSeq and is a predicted model, not a curated record. The transcript has 2 exons. NCBI's taxonomy places the organism in Eukaryota, Viridiplantae, Streptophyta, Magnoliopsida, Solanales, Solanaceae.
GUUUCUUCUUUCCACAGACUCUGCCACCAUACUGCCACUGGCUGGAUAAAUCACACAGUGAUUUCUCUUUUCGACAAAUAUAGAUUCACCAGUUACUGGAUUUUCUUUCACCAUAUCUUCAGCAGGUGACCAUGCCAUUGCUUUUCAAGCUUAUACCUGCUGUAAUUCACCUUGGUGUGCUGCUUAGGUGGUUCCCACCUGAUAGUCUUAGUGAGGUAAUUACCUUGAUGGUCAUGCCACAAGGACAGAGAUUCGCCAAUAGCACUAAUUUAGGCUCAUGGUUUGACUGGUUUUCACUUGAAGAUUCGCCAUUAGCACUAGUUUAGGCUCAUGGUUUGACUGGUUUUCACUUGUUAUAUGUUCACAUGGUCUUUCUUCCCUUAUCAAUAACGAGUUUGUGUAUGUCAGAAUCAUUGAAAGUAUAUUGUUACGAUUAUUUUU